RNAcentral lists this ribosomal RNA (474 nucleotides) under uncultured bacterium. RNAcentral describes it as "SSU rRNA". It matches the Rfam family "Bacterial small subunit ribosomal RNA", at positions 26 to 518 of the family's 1533-position model. The record is from RNAcentral.
AGGACGAACGCUGGCGGCGUGCUUAACACAUGCAAGUCGAGCGGAAAGGCCCUUCGGGGUACUCGAGCGGCGAACGGGUGAGUAACACGUGAGUAAUCUGCCCCUAGCUCUGGGAUAGCUCCGGGAAACCGGGAUUAAUACCGGAUACGACCACCUUAGACAUCUUUUGUGGUGGAAAGAAUUUCGGCUAGGGAUGAGCUCGCGGCCUAUCAGCUUGUUGGUGGGGUAACGGCCUACCAAGGCGACGACGGGUAGCCGGCCUGAGAGGGCGACCGGCCACACUGGGACUGAGACACGGCCCAGACUCCUACGGGAGGCAGCAGUGGGGAAUAUUGCGCAAUGGGCGAAAGCCUGACGCAGCGACGCCGCGUGGGGGAUGAAGGCCUUCGGGUUGUAAACCCCUUUCAGCAGGGACGAAGCGAAAGUGACGGUACCUGCAGAAGAAGCGCCGGCUAACUACGUGUCAGCAGCCGC